UUCCUUGAACCGCAUGGUUCAAGGAUGAAAGACGGUUUCGGCUGUCACUUACAGAUGGACCCGCGGCGCAUUAGCUAGUUGGUGGGGUAAUGGGCUCACCAGGGCGACGAUGCGUAGCCGACCUGAGAGGGUGAUCGGCCACACUGGGACUGAGACACGGCCCAGACUCCUACGGGAGGCAGCAGUAGGGAAUCUUCCGCAAUGGACGAAAGUCUGACGGAGCAACGCCGCGUGAGUGAUGAAGGUUUUCGGAUCGUAAAGCUCUGUUGUUAGGGAAGAACAAGUGCGAGAGUAACUGCUCGCACCUUGACGGUACCUAACCAGAAAGCCACGGCUAACUACGUGCCAGCAGCCGCGGUAAUACGUAGGUGGCAAGCGUUGUCCGGAAUUAUUGGGCGUAAAGGGCUCGCAGGCGGUUUCUUAAGUCUGAUGUGAAAGCCCCCGGCUCAACCGGGGAGGGUCAUUGGAAACUGGGAAACUUGAGUGCAGAAGAGGAGAGUGGAAUUCCACGUGUAGCGGUGAAAUGCGUAGAGAUGUGGAGGAACACCAGUGGCGAAGCGACUCUCUGGUCUGUAACUGACGCU
RNAcentral lists this ribosomal RNA (584 nucleotides) under Bacillus altitudinis. Its description in RNAcentral is "bacterial SSU rRNA". It matches the Rfam family "Bacterial small subunit ribosomal RNA", at positions 173 to 747 of the family's 1533-position model. The record is from RNAcentral. Lineage: Bacteria; Bacillati; Bacillota; Bacilli; Caryophanales; Bacillaceae.